AAUUAAGUGGAGAGUAAUGAAUGUCUUGCUCCCGCAAAUGGAGGAAGGCUUACGGAGGUCUUGGUCCCAAACAUGGGGAAGCUUACGGGAGGUCCUGCUCCCAAACAUAGGGAAGGCUUACGAGAGGUAUCAUAUGUUGAUUGCUCUGCCGUUGACUCUCAUAAACUGGAAUGAAGUGGAGAGUAACGAAUGUCUUGCUCCCGCAUAUGGGAAGACUUAUGAGGGUCCUGCUUCCACACAUGAGAGAGACUUACGGAAGGUUCUACUUCCACACAUGGGAGGAGACUUACAAUAUAACAUGUAGAAUCAUAGAUAUGAUAUAAAUGUAGAUGAUGAAUGUAACCAUUUGUGAGAGUCUCUCACUAUUAUACAUUAUAUGAAUAUACAUAUAUUUAAGACGGUAUAACCACCCAUUGAUAUCUCUUGCGGGUUCUUUUCCUCAAAUAUAAAGAUACAUACAUAGGCAAGUACAAAUAAUGAAACCCCCUGAAUAUAGAAAACAAAAAUAAACGAGACAAAGUAAAACAUUUUGUAAAACAUUUUGUUUAAUAGUAUUUCCCUAUCAAAUUGACGUAGUCCAAGUGCUGAUUGAGUACCGAUUCCCAGCCUAACAUUUCAUCAAAUCAAAUAUGUUCUUAAUAUUAUUUUCAUCGAAAGAGAGAGUAGGGAACUCAGUAGAUCAUUAACAGACUUUUGGCCAGCUACACACAAUAUAUUUUGCUUAUAAUACACCUUAACUAACAUGGCUCAACAGUUUGGAAAACACAAUAAAAUAUUCAAUUUCAAGUAUAUUAAUCGUGAAAAUCUGGAUUUUAUGCUGAUAAUGUGACACUAAAGAAAUCCCCCAACUUCAUUUAAUCAGACACUUCACGUGCAAUUCGAUUCAGGAUUACACUAUAUGCUUAACAGGUGAUAACCAUAUACUGCGCUCAACUUGGAUAGAAAAGCAGAGUUAUUACAUCAAGUCAAUAGGGAGGACGUUUACGAAUCUGAUUCCAAAAACCUAUCUCAUAAAUAUAAUUUGAAACAAAUCUAUAUCACAAUUACACCCUCUUGUUGUUGUUGAGUGUUUAUAAAAAUUAUAGUCCAUAAUUGAAAGAUUCUUGAAAUUAUUAAGCAAAAAUGGAAAAAAAGAAAGAGAGAAAUGAACCGGGAGAGUUUGAACGUGUCCGAACAUGGCCUCUCCACAUUAGAAAUUGAAACGCUUUUAAUGCAAUAAUCCAACAGCCAAGGAAACAUUUUCCUGCCAAAUAUCAAAAGAACAAUUAAACUCCAAGAUUCCUUGCAGAGCAGUGGAGAAUAAUCUUUUCGUGGGUUCUUUUAACCCAAUAUUUUUAAUGAUAACAAUCUUGCAGAUUGAUACUAAAGUUCAGUUAAACUUGGAGAUAAUUUUUUUUGGGAACAUAGGGCAAGGGCAAACUGGUUGAGAUUAAGGGAUAAGAAUACGGCUUUCUUUCAAAACUUUGCGAUAAAUUGAGGGAUAAGAAUGAAUAGAAUAAGUGGGCUGCAAGGAGGGGAUGGGCGGUUUGCGAGAAAUUAUUUUGAAUCGAUGGCGGACUGAACGGUGGCGAAGUUGCUUUUGAAUCGAUAGAGGAAAGCAGAAAUGGUGAACACUCGAGAAGAGGUCUACUCCAAAGUUUCCUUCUGCUAUUGUCUUAGAUAUUUUGUUGCUAUUG
This 1676-nucleotide long non-coding RNA is filed under the name Gossypium barbadense (sea-island cotton). RNAcentral describes it as "long non-coding RNA (GBAR_LNC001001)". The record is from RNAcentral. Lineage: Eukaryota; Viridiplantae; Streptophyta; Magnoliopsida; Malvales; Malvaceae.